CUGACACUUCCCUGCCAGAGUGUUUGCCAGUAAUGAUCCUGACUUUCUGAAAACCAGUAAUCCUGGAGAUAAGAUCUCAGUCUGAAAUCUGCCUGCCUGAACUCCGUUCAGUCUCUGCUUCUGCCCUCAGCCCUCUGCCUGCCGACUAGCCUCUGGACCCUCAAGGUUCCCCCCCUACUGAUCAGAUCCAUCUCUGAGCAGUGGUGUGCCUCCCGUGACCAGUCAGAAGAACCCAGAUCCUGUGC
Molecule: long non-coding RNA, 245 nt
Organism: Cyprinodon tularosa
Lineage: Eukaryota; Metazoa; Chordata; Actinopteri; Cyprinodontiformes; Cyprinodontidae
Exons: 3
Source: RefSeq, a predicted model, not a curated record